UAGGGAAUCUUCCGCAAUGGACGCAAGUCUGACGGAGCAACGCCGCGUGAGUGAAGAAGGAUUUCGGUUCGUAAAACUCUGUUGUUAGAGAAGAACAGCGCAUAGAGUAACUGUUAUGCGUGUGACGGUAUCUAACCAGAAAGCCACGGCUAACUACGUGCCAGCAGCCGCGGUAAUACGUAGGUGGCAAGCGUUGUCCGGAUUUAUUGGGCGUAAAGCGAGCGCAGGCGGUCAAUUAAGUCUGAUGUGAAAGCCCCCGGCUCAACCGGGGAGGGUCAUUGGAAACUGGUUGACUUGAGUGCAGAAGAGGAGAGUGGAAUUCCAUGUGUAGCGGUGAAAUGCGCAGAGAUAUGGAGGAACACCAGUGGCGAAGGCGACUCUCUGGUCUGUAACUGACGCUGAGGCUCGAAAGCGUGGGUAGCAAACAGG
Molecule: ribosomal RNA, 429 nt
Filed under: Bacteroidota bacterium
Lineage: Bacteria; Pseudomonadati; Bacteroidota
Description: Bacteroidetes bacterium partial 16S ribosomal RNA
Rfam family: Bacterial small subunit ribosomal RNA
Source: RNAcentral